This 75-nucleotide microRNA precursor is filed under the name Tupaia belangeri (northern tree shrew). RNAcentral's name for it is "miRNA (ENSTBEG00000019908.1)". Lineage: Eukaryota; Metazoa; Chordata; Mammalia; Scandentia; Tupaiidae. The record is from RNAcentral.
CCUUCUUCUCGUUUGCCUUUUUCUGCUUCUGCUGCAUGAUCUCCCAGUCCCUGGGAGUAGAGAUGAUGGGGCACU